Molecule: non-coding RNA, 313 nt
Organism: Microcebus murinus (gray mouse lemur)
Lineage: Eukaryota; Metazoa; Chordata; Mammalia; Primates; Cheirogaleidae
Source: RefSeq, a predicted model, not a curated record
UUUUGCCCAUGUAUUGUUUUCCUUAUAUUAUUUAUUUGUCUAUCUGUGUUCUUUUGAAGCUCAUUGAGCUUCUUUAAGCUGGAGGACAAAAAGCAGGAGGAAAGAGAUUGAGGCCAGGGAGCCAUCUAGGAGAGUGUUGCACGGUCCAAAUCAAAGAAGAUAAGGACAGUAGCAGGGGACAUGGAACAAGGCGAACACUUUUUUGCAGAACUGCUGGAGAUAAAAGCAAACGUCUUAGAAGAGCAAGUGUGACAUCUGGUACGCGACCAGGAAUAAAUCUCUACCUGCCAAGCAAGACUGUAAGGCAAUCUGG